UUUUUGUGGAAUCUGGGAAGUUUAGCUAAGAAUUAAAUGAAAAUAGUCUCAAUAUCACUUUCUCAAAGAAUUCCAAAAUCAAAAUCUCUGUUGUGGAUGAUGGGAAUUGUUCAAAGGAAGCCAAAAGCCCUAUAAAUAUUGGGUAUGAGGAAAAUGGAAAUUACUGUUUCGUGCUCAUUAAUCCCAAAGAUGAUGAUGGAAAAACCAAGUCUUUAUUUCAGGUAAUA
This is a long non-coding RNA of Lycium ferocissimum, 227 nucleotides long. RefSeq lists it as uncharacterized. The transcript is spliced from 3 exons. Lineage: Eukaryota; Viridiplantae; Streptophyta; Magnoliopsida; Solanales; Solanaceae. The record is from RefSeq and is a predicted model, not a curated record.